GUCAGCGGGGGGCCCUGCAGGGAAUUUACGGAAUCCCCGAGAUGGCCCCGAGCCUGGAGCUCUUCACAGAGAGGUUCAAGCCGCGGCUGGUGGCCAUGGCUCACGACAAGGAGCCCCAGGUGGCCCUGGAGGUGCUGCGGCUGCUCACGGACAUGGACAGGAACCUGGAGGAGGCGCUGAGCCCCGAGGAUUGCCAGAGCAUCUUCCCCGUGGUGUUCGUGUCCAGCCGCGCCCUGGCCUCGGCCGCGGGCAGGUUCCUGUACCAGAGG
This is a long non-coding RNA of Camarhynchus parvulus, 269 nucleotides long. RefSeq lists it as uncharacterized. The transcript has 3 exons. Lineage: Eukaryota; Metazoa; Chordata; Aves; Passeriformes; Thraupidae. The record is from RefSeq and is a predicted model, not a curated record.